GGGUUGUGAGGUUAAGCGACUAAGCGUACACGGUGGAUGCCCUGGCAGUCAGAGGCGAUGAAGGACGUGCUAAUCUGCGAUAAGCGUCGGUAAGGUGAUAUGAACCGUUAUAACCGGCGAUUUCCGAAUGGGGAAACCCAGUGUGAUUCGUCACACUAUCAUUAACUGAAUCCAUAGGUUAAUGAGGCGAACCGGGGGAACUGAAACAUCUAAGUACCCCGAGGAAAAGAAAUCAACCGAGAUUCCCCCAGUAGCGGCGAGCGAACGGGGAGCAGCCCAGAGCCUGAAUCAGUGUGUGUGUUAGUGGAAGCGUCUGGAAAGGCGUGCGAUACAGGGUGACAGCCCCGUACACAAAAAUGCACAUAUUGUGAGCUCGAUGAGUAGGGCGGGACACGUGGUAUCCUGUCUGAAUAUGGGGGGACCAUCCUCCAAGGCUAAAUACUCCUGACUGACCGAUAGUGAACCAGUACCGUGAGGGAAAGGCGAAAAGAACCCCGGCGAGGGGAGUGAAAAAGAACCUGAAACCGUGUACGUACAAGCAGUGGGAGCACAGAGCAAUCUGUGUGACUGCGUACCUUUUGUAUAAUGGGUCAGCGACUUAUAUUCUGUAGCAAGGUUAACCGAAUAGGGGAGCCGAAGGGAAACCGAGUCUUAACUGGGCGUUAAGUUGCAGGGUAUAGACCCGAAACCCGGUGAUCUAGCCAUGGGCAGGUUGAAGGUUGGGUAACACUAACUGGAGGACCGAACCGACUAAUGUUGAAAAAUUAGCGGAUGACUUGUGGCUGGGGGUGAAAGGCCAAUCAAACCGGGAGAUAGCUGGUUCUCCCCGAAAGCUAUUUAGGUAGCGCCUCGUGAAUUCAUCUCCGGGGGUAGAGCACUGUUUCGGCAAGGGGGUCAUCCCGACUUACCAACCCGAUGCAAACUGCGAAUACCGGAGAAUGUUAUCACGGGAGACACACGGCGGGUGCUAACGUCCGUCGUGAAGAGGGAAACAACCCAGACCGCCAGCUAAGGUCCCAAAGUCAUGGUUAAGUGGGAAACGAUGUGGGAAGGCCCAGACAGCCAGGAUGUUGGCUUAGAAGCAGCCAUCAUUUAAAGAAAGCGUAAUAGCUCACUGGUCGAGUCGGCCUGCGCGGAAGAUGUAACGGGGCUAAACCAUGCACCGAAGCUGCGGCAGCGACGCUGAUGCGUUGUUGGGUAGGGGAGCGUUCUGUAAGCCUGCGAAGGUGUGCUGUGAGGCAUGCUGGAGGUAUCAGAAGUGCGAAUGCUGACAUAAGUAACGAUAAAGCGGGUGAAAAGCCCGCUCGCCGGAAGACCAAGGGUUCCUGUCCAACGUUAAUCGGGGCAGGGUGAGUCGACCCCUAAGGCGAGGCCGAAAGGCGUAGUCGAUGGGAAACAGGUUAAUAUUCCUGUACUUGGUGUUACUGCGAAGGGGGGACGGAGAAGGCUAUGUUGGCCGGGCGACGGUUGUCCCGGUUUAAGCGUGUAGGCUGGU
Molecule: ribosomal RNA, 1495 nt
Filed under: Escherichia coli
Lineage: Bacteria; Pseudomonadati; Pseudomonadota; Gammaproteobacteria; Enterobacterales; Enterobacteriaceae
Description: partial 23S ribosomal RNA
Rfam family: Bacterial large subunit ribosomal RNA
Source: RNAcentral